GGAGGAAGAGGAGGAGGAAGAUGACAACCUUGAUGAAGCUUUAUCUGGCUGCAUGGAGGAGCUGGGGAGGGGACCCCAUAGCCCAGCAGUGUCGGCGCCUCCUGUGCCUGGAGUGAGCUCGCCUGCCACGCGGCUACCACUGAGCUGGCCCCACCUGGGACAACCCCCAGACAGCCGGAGGCAGCUGGGAGGGGUUGGAGACCCCCCCACACCUGACCCCAGCAGUGCCUGCCCUACAGCCCCUCUGGGC
This 250-nucleotide long non-coding RNA is filed under the name Apteryx owenii (little spotted kiwi). RNAcentral's name for it is "lncRNA (ENSAOWG00000010345.1)". The record is from RNAcentral. Lineage: Eukaryota; Metazoa; Chordata; Aves; Apterygiformes; Apterygidae.